ACAGCAGUCGCCACGGGAAUACAGAGGGUGCAAGCGUUAAUCGGAAUUACUGGGCGUAAAGCGCGCGUAGGUGGUUUGUUAAGUUGGAUGUGAAAGCCCCGGGCUCAACCUGGGAACUGCAUCCAAAACUGGCAAGCUAGAGUACGGUAGAGGGUGGUGGAAUUUCCUGUGUAGCGGUGAAAUGCGUAGAUAUAGGAAGGAACACCAGUGGCGAAGGCGACCACCUGGACUGAUACUGACACUGAGGUGCGAAAGCGUGGGGAGCAAACAGGAUUAGAUACCCCAGUAGUCCCUGUCUCUUAUAC
Molecule: ribosomal RNA, 305 nt
Filed under: uncultured bacterium
Lineage: Bacteria
Description: partial 16S ribosomal RNA
Rfam family: Bacterial small subunit ribosomal RNA
Source: RNAcentral